UACGUAGGGUGCAAGCGUUGUCCGGAAUUAUUGGGCGUAAAGAGCUCGUAGGCGGUUUGUCGCGUCUGCUGUGAAAACUCGGGGCUUAACUCCGGGCCUGCAGUGGGUACGGGCAGACUAGAGUGCGGUAGGGGAGACUGGAAUCCCUGGUGUAGCGGUGAAAUGCGCAGAUAUCAGGAGGAACACCGGUGGCGAAGGCGGGUCUCUGGGCCGAUACUGACGCUGAGGAGCGAAAGCGUGGGGAGCGAACAGG
RNAcentral lists this ribosomal RNA (253 nucleotides) under uncultured bacterium. Its description in RNAcentral is "partial 16S ribosomal RNA". It matches the Rfam family "Bacterial small subunit ribosomal RNA", at positions 524 to 776 of the family's 1533-position model. The record is from RNAcentral.